UACAGAGGUGGCAAGCGUUGUUCGGAAUUACUGGGCGUAAAGGGCGCGUAGGCGGUCUCGUAAGUCCUGUGUGAAAUCCCCCGGCUCAACUGGGGAACUGCACAGGAAACUGCUUGACUUGAGUUCGGGAGAGGGAAGCGGAAUUCCGGGUGUAGCGGUGAAAUGCGUAGAUAUCCGGAGGAACACCGGUGGCGAAGGCGGCUUCCUGGACCGACACUGACGCUGAGGCGCGAAAGCCAGGGGAGCAAACGGG
This 253-nucleotide ribosomal RNA is filed under the name uncultured bacterium. RNAcentral's name for it is "partial 16S ribosomal RNA". It matches the Rfam family "Bacterial small subunit ribosomal RNA", at positions 524 to 776 of the family's 1533-position model. The record is from RNAcentral.